AGGUAGGUUAUUUUGACGUGAAAGGCAAUGACCUUCCUUGUGAUAAAGACGGAAAAUGUCACGAAUUCCGACUACGCAGUGCAGAACAGGCCAUGAUGUUGUGUCAAUCAUACGGCAAAGAAUGCCAGGGAUUCGUUUUUGCGUCUAAAUCAGGCCGUCUCUUUCUCAAAACUAACGUCAGUAGCGAGCCACUACACGAUCCAUUCUUGGAAUUUUACGUCAGAGCAGAAUUUCGAAAAAAUGUGGAUUUACUCGAGGAAAGGCAAUGCGCAACUCCUAUUGAAGAUUUCCAAGAAUCGUCUCAGUUCAAAUGCACUUUGCCUGUUCUUGAUCCAUUUAAUGCGAAUAUAAUGAAAUAUAUGGAUAAGAUGAAGACCGUGAUUGCAUGCCAAGGAGAACAUUAUACAACAUACCAUGGUGGUAUACUGUCACUCGUGCGAACAG
This is a non-coding RNA of Paramuricea clavata, 444 nucleotides long. Lineage: Eukaryota; Metazoa; Cnidaria; Anthozoa; Malacalcyonacea; Plexauridae. The record is from the annotation of a GenBank genome assembly.